This 67-nucleotide transfer RNA is filed under the name Ibidoecus bisignatus (glossy ibis head louse). Its description in RNAcentral is "tRNA-Met". Lineage: Eukaryota; Metazoa; Arthropoda; Insecta; Psocodea; Philopteridae. The record is from RNAcentral.
UUGAAAGUAGACUAGUUAUAAGUCUUUAGACUCAUAAUCUAAAAAAGAUCUUAAAGAUCCUUUCAAA